Non-coding RNA from Cinara cedri, 337 nucleotides. NCBI's taxonomy places the organism in Eukaryota, Metazoa, Arthropoda, Insecta, Hemiptera, Aphididae. The record is from the annotation of a GenBank genome assembly.
UGAAAUCAAAUUGCCUCGGUGCGCGUAAAUAAUAAUAUAAUAAUUCGUUACGGUUAUCGUUCACGACCGUUUUGUAAUGCGUCAACCGUCAGUGGCGGCGCGGCCGGGAAUUUUCGACGGGAGGCGACGUACAGCGAAAUAUAAUAAUUUCUAUCGGGAAAUCUCCCGGGCGUUUACAAGUCGAACUCGAAAGAAAACGAAAGAAACGAAACGGAUUUUCCAUCGACACCUUUUACUCAUUGUAACUCUGCCGGAAUUUCGAGUCGUACGUGAGAUUAAAAUUUCCUAUGUGAACACCGUACGUAUAAAGUGUCGCGUUAAAAAUCCGACGGGUAUC